AUGGAGUUGGGGUUCGGCGACACUAGCUUACUUGUAUCGACAGGUAUGAAGUUGUUUCCUUUUCACUUCAUUGAUACAUUAUCAAUGCGCUCUUGCGGCAAAUUUGACCAUGUUCUUUUUUAUGUGCAGUUGGACGAUGCCAGUUGUAGGCACACUGGAGGUAUUGGUGGUUGUCUGCUCGCACUUUCCAUAUGGAGCUGGGAGCGUUUGCCGGUUGGACGACCUAAGACCGUGAAGUACGAGGAUUGGGACGAUAAAGACGACCCACUACGGCUCCCCACUUGGGCUUACAAGUGGGAUGUGUUAAAUGAGACGACGGAUGAUCCCUCUAUAAUGUACAAGUUGUACAAGAGCGAGCUGGACGCGAUCACGCGUGAACCGACCUUGCAUAAGUGA
This 396-nucleotide ribosomal RNA is filed under the name Triticum aestivum (bread wheat). RNAcentral's name for it is "partial small subunit ribosomal RNA". The record is from RNAcentral. Lineage: Eukaryota; Viridiplantae; Streptophyta; Magnoliopsida; Poales; Poaceae.